GAGCUGCACAGGGACGCCACUUGGGGUGUUCCACUCUCCCCGCUCCAGCAGCCAGGUGGGUGAAGAAGCCUAAAAAUCAUCCAGCAAAGGGCAAGAAGCACCCAGCCCUGAACUACACUCCCACCCUAGCCAUUCCCUUUAAGGACAGACUGCCCCGUUUUGCGUGUUUUCUGCUACUAAUAUAACAGGACAAGGAUGUAAAAUAAAAAAGGAUAAGCCCGUCGUGGUGACACACCCCUAGAACCCCACAACUCAGGAGGCAGGAGGGUUGCUAGGAAUCUGAGGCCAGCCUGUGCUAUACAGUGAGACCUUGCCUCAAAAUAAUAAUACUAGGGAUGAGUGGGGAACAAGAGUCGUGGAGGGGUCCCCUCCCAGCUGCCCCUCCAGCCGUGCCAGCCCCGCAGCCGCUGGCCCUUGUGCCGCUGAGCCGCCGCCCGGCUUCCUCUUCUGCCCCCUUCUGAGCGUAACCUUGGGCAGGUGCUUCUCCGUCACCUCUGUGUCCCCUACGUCCCCCAGCCCUCUUCUGACUUCUGAUUCCUCCUCCUCCAGUUCACCUCCCACGUGGACACACUGCCGACAGCGGUCUCCCCUGAGGUCCAUUUCCUGCCUGGAGCUGUCACCUGCACCACACUUUAGGGUGCUCGAGGUUGCAAUUAAGCAUUACUUUACAAAAAAAGCAGGAGCUACAAUUACCAGGUCACGGCAACCCCAUGAGAAACCCGACCUCUGAGCCAGGUAACAGCGAGAGGGUGAACUGUUCACCGUACGGGACAAACAGAGUUAGCCCUACUGGGGCUGCGGGAUCCAAGAAGCUUCUGCACCAAUGUCCUGAACUAGAACCUGGAAUAUGAAGAGUGGAGAAACAUAUUCUUGGUCAACAGCCAAAGGAGACACUUCGGGUUUAAAAACCAACCCAACGGCUGGGGAUGCAGCUCAGAGGUACAGGUCUUGCUUAGUAUGUGUGGGGACCCCGGUACAACCUCCAUUACCACACACACACAAAAAAAAUCCCAAACCACACAUGUGCACUCUUUGAAGGAUGUACAAUAUGCAAAUAAUAAUUAUACUGGUUACCUUCAAGGACGAAUGGACUAAGAUUUCAUUAUGUACUUUUUAGAAAUUCUAUCCUGAGUACACAUACUACCUCUUUUUAAAAAUUAAUUUAUUAAGGGACUGGGGAUUUAGCUCAGCGGCACAGCGCCUGCCUGGCAAGCGCAAGGUCAUGAGUUUGAUUCCUGGUACCGGAAAAAAACAAAAAAACACAAAAACAAACAAAAAAAUUAACUUAUUAAAAUCAAACUUCAUGCAACUUUCCAAUAAACAGGUUUACUAGAGGUGGGCAAACUGCCCAGACUCAGUAUACCUAACUGUCCACAUGCUGACCUGGAUUUACUGUUUUAGGGGAGUUUGCUCAGCUAUGCAUCAUCAGGAUAGGUGUCUUAGCUAGUACAUGGUUGUAAAAUUUGCCAAAAUUCGCCCAGCUAUGGCUUUAAGGUGUGUGCAUCUGCUGUGUGUUCUUGUUAUGGUUUGUGUCUGCAUGUCCCCUCAAAUCCUCAUGCAUCAUGGGACGGGCUUUUAAGAGUUUAUAAUUGAUUCUUGGUCCAAUGAUGGGAUUAUGGAUGUGAGGGCUACACCUGCCCUGGGGCGGAUAGUUUGCAUACAAUGUAAGGGAGGGAAAGAGGCUGCCUGCUGCCCCUCCUCCCUUUUGCCCUCGUUGCCUUUGCUGUUUUCUGCCGAACAUUUGCCCUCUGCCAUGUGCCACUCUGCCUCGGAGCCAACCAAGUAUGUACUGAAACAUCCACAAACUGUGAGCUAAAUAAACCUUUCCUUCCUUAAUUUUGCGCGCUGGGUAUUUUGUCUCAGCAACGAGAGAAAAGUAGCUGAGACAGUUCUGUCCUGCGCUUCAAUUCAGAAUUGCUAACGAUGAUGACAGCCCCAGCCCUUGUGUACAAAUAAGCCGGUUUGAGGGCUUGCUGGACCGGUAGUUCAGAGAAGGCUGCUGUUUUCAGAAAACAACACUAUGUGGACUUUCUGCAAAACCGUGCUCUUUGGAAAACACCACUACAGCAUGUGCUUUUGGUUAAGCAUUCCACAGCUGAAACGCAACUCUGCGCUGAAACGCUGAGAGGAUGAGGCACAAUCUUGGCCAAGGUCAAGCUCUGCUGAUGGGUCGGGGGGAUGGCAGCCAACUGCUCCGCACUUAUAUAAUGUUUCAAAAAGAAAAACUUACCCCAAGUCAUCUUCUGUUCCUUUUCUGAGCCAACGUUAGUCCCGUUCAUUGCAUCCAAGAACUCAGAGAAAGCCGUAUGUGCUAUGGCUCAGACCACCCCUCCAGGGCCCAACACCCGUAUCUUGAUUUAAAGGAAACGAAGCCAACUGACUGGGCUUUCACCAGCUCUAAGGGAUGCGAGUGAGCUGUCUGAACCUUGCACACAGUUAGCAAUCUUCUAGGAGCGGGCACAGAAAUGUACUUGAGCCUUCUUUUCGGCUAGCUGAUUAUUUUUUCUGGAAUGACAACAAAAAAGAUCCAUAUUUGGUAGAAAUCAGGACUCCCUUUAGGCAGUGACGGCGAACUUUUUAGAGCUUUCAAUGACAUAAACAGCCUGCUGUAGCACACGUGCCAUAGGUUCGCCACCACU
RNAcentral lists this long non-coding RNA (2639 nucleotides) under Chinchilla lanigera (long-tailed chinchilla). RNAcentral's name for it is "lncRNA (ENSCLAG00000025223.1)". The record is from RNAcentral. Lineage: Eukaryota; Metazoa; Chordata; Mammalia; Rodentia; Chinchillidae.